GAUGAAGAACGCAGCGAAAUGCGAUAAGUAAUGUGAAUUGCAGAAUUCAGUGAAUCAUCGAAUCUUUGAACGCACAUUGCGCCCGCCAGUAUUCUGGCGGGCAUGCCUGUCUGAGCGUCAUUUCAACCCUCAUGCCCCUAGGGCGUGGUGUUGGGGAUCGGCCAAAGCCCGCGAGGGACGGCCGGCCCCUAAAUCUAGUGGCGGACCCGUCGUGGCCUCCUCUGCGAAGUAGUGAUAUUCCGCAUCGGAGAGCGAUGAGCCCCUGCCGUUAAACCCCCAACUUUCCAAGGUUGUCCUCAGAUCAGGUAGGAAUACCCGCUGAACUUAAGCAUAUCAAUAAGCGGAGGA
Molecule: unclassified non-coding RNA, 348 nt
Filed under: soil metagenome
Description: partial contains 5.8S ribosomal RNA, internal transcribed spacer 2, and large subunit ribosomal RNA
Rfam family: 5.8S ribosomal RNA (bases 1-120)
Source: RNAcentral